ACUCCUACGGGAGGCAGCAGUGGGAAUAUUGGACAAUGGGAACCGUAGCAUCCAGCCAUGCCGCGCUGUGUGAAGAAGGCCUUAUGGUUGUAAAGCACUUUAAGCGAGGAGGAGGCUACUAGUAUUAAUACUACUGGAUAGUGGACGUUACUCGCAGAAUAAGCACCGGCUAACUCUGUGCCAGCAGCCGCGGUAAUACAGAGGGUGCGAGCGUUAAUCGGAUUUACUGGGCGUAAAGCGUGCGUAGGCGGCCAUUUAAGUCAAAUGUGAAAU
RNAcentral lists this ribosomal RNA (273 nucleotides) under uncultured bacterium. RNAcentral's name for it is "partial 16S ribosomal RNA". It matches the Rfam family "Bacterial small subunit ribosomal RNA", at positions 335 to 600 of the family's 1533-position model. The record is from RNAcentral.